Long non-coding RNA from Bombyx mandarina (wild silkworm), 1001 nucleotides. The record is from RefSeq and is a predicted model, not a curated record. NCBI's taxonomy places the organism in Eukaryota, Metazoa, Arthropoda, Insecta, Lepidoptera, Bombycidae.
ACACUGUAUUAUUAUCGAGAUCUAGCAGAACUUAAUUAAAAAUAAUACUCCUCUAAAUAUUCUUAAAACUCCCUUUAUUACACAGGUGUAUAACUAAAUAACCGAUAUUGAAAAAAAAAAAUAAGUGUGUAACACCAUACAACACAAGGGAAGUCUCGAAACAUAGGUUAUGCGUACUUGCACGAGUGUAUUGUUUAGUUUUGCUUUAUUGCAGAAUGCGAACAGGUCUGUUCUUGUCGUUUAAAGUGCUAUAAUUGGUCAUUUUUAUCGUUUGUUAUAUCAUCGAGGAUACGUUAAGCGCAAUGAAAAGGCGAGAUAUUUUUAAUAUAUGGUUUCCAAGUAAUAAAAAAAAGGUCAAAAUAACCUUAUAAUUGAAAAAAUACUACAAUAUUAUGACAUAGAGGACUGUAGAAACCCUCCACGAUCACUUCAAAUGUUAAUAAGUAGUCUUACAGCAAAAAUACAAUCUAAAUGGGAGAAAUGUAAGCGAAAAUAACAGGGAUCAAUCUGGAUUUAGUCAAACAUUUCUGUUAUCUUGGAGGCACAAGACAUAUGCCGAAGAGACAAGAAAACUUUAUUUAGUACAUUGUUCCUGGUACUACAUGCCUUCUAGUAGGUAUACACAAAAUCCUCUCACACUCAAUAGAAGUAAUUGAAACAUGCGUUUUACCUUUGGACCAAUUAGCAGAAGAAGCUCAAGAAGCGAACAAUAAGGAAUAUAGGAGGAAUCGCGAGUAUUUCAGCAGGAAAACAAGCAGAAUUAACACCAAUCGAGACGUACUUAACCGAUUUCUGAUAGGUUCAGAUCCACUUCUAUCUUCCAAAUCAACAGUGCAAAAUAGAACAUGGGAGAAGAAACUUACUCGACGGAGGAAGAUGGGUAGAAGGUUAUGCGAAUUUUUUUUAGUCUUUUGAAUAUAUUUAGGGGUGUAAAAUAUAUUUCUUGUGUAUUUAGAACAAAGUUGCAGUAUUAAAAAUAAUAUUUUUAAAGAAAAUAAAGA